AUCCGUCCGUCCGUAUCCCAUCUCAGGCUGAGAGAUGCUGAUGUGAGGCCCAGAGGGUGGUGCCUGAGAGAGAAACCGGCGGUUGCAUAAACCGAGGCCACUUCAGGUUAAAGGGGAGCGAGUUCUGUCUAUCCAAACGAACACGGUGAGAACUGAAGGGAUAAAUGUACCACCCGAAGGAUUCUCCUGGGACCCUCCCCAAGGACCUGGAUUCCUUAAAGAUCCCGCCACAGCAGGAGCACUCAGAGUACGCCUUCCCCAAGCAAAGAGUCUAAAGGUCUGGGAGAUCCCCUCCCUCCCUCGUCAUGGACAAGACCCAUUCUCAGUGCUCUGCCCCACCUAACUCCAGGGCCCCACGGAAGAAACGAGAGAGGAAUCUAGAGCAGCAUCGUCUCCCGCGCGUUCUCCAGGUAUUUGCACAGGCGCGGGACGCCCUCUUCCUCCAGGCCAGCGCUCCGGGACUUUGCACGGUGGAAAAGAGGGACGUCAUUUGUCCCUGAACAGAAUAACCUGAGACCGCCGGUACCAUGGCUGUGGACGUGUGGGGUCGUGGGAAUCCCUAGCGCUGGUCGCGCUCCUGAGUCCGCUUCCAAACCUCAUUCACGACCCGGAAAGGAUGCAUGCAUAUAUAUGUGUGUGUGUGUGUG
Molecule: long non-coding RNA, 647 nt
Filed under: Equus asinus (donkey)
Lineage: Eukaryota; Metazoa; Chordata; Mammalia; Perissodactyla; Equidae
Description: lncRNA (ENSEASG00005027736.1)
Source: RNAcentral